RNAcentral lists this ribosomal RNA (429 nucleotides) under Gemmatimonadota bacterium. Its description in RNAcentral is "Gemmatimonadetes bacterium partial 16S ribosomal RNA". It matches the Rfam family "Bacterial small subunit ribosomal RNA", at positions 355 to 776 of the family's 1533-position model. The record is from RNAcentral. Lineage: Bacteria; Pseudomonadati; Gemmatimonadota.
UAGGGAAUCUUCGGCAAUGGACGAAAGUCUGACCGAGCAACGCCGCGUGAGUGAAGAAGGUUUUCGGAUCGUAAAACUCUGUUGUUAGAGAAGAACAAGGACGUUAGUAACUGAACGUCCCCUGACGGUAUCUAACCAGAAAGCCACGGCUAACUACGUGCCAGCAGCCGCGGUAAUACGUAGGUGGCAAGCGUUGUCCGGAUUUAUUGGGCGUAAAGCGAGCGCAGGCGGUUUCUUAAGUCUGAUGUGAAAGCCCCCGGCUCAACCGGGGAGGGUCAGUGGAAACUGGGAGACUUGAGUGCAGAAGAGGAGAGUGGAAUUCCAUGUGUAGCGGUGAAAUGCGUAGAUAUAUGGAGGAACACCAGUGGCGAAGGCGGCUCUCUGGUCUGUAACUGACGCUGAGGCGAGAAAGCGUGGGGAGCAAACAGG